This 467-nucleotide ribosomal RNA is filed under the name uncultured bacterium. RNAcentral's name for it is "partial 16S ribosomal RNA". It matches the Rfam family "Bacterial small subunit ribosomal RNA", at positions 28 to 507 of the family's 1533-position model. The record is from RNAcentral.
GACGAACGCUGCGGCGUGCUUAACACAUGCAAGUCGAACGGAAAGGCCCUGCUUUUGUGGGGUGCUCGAGUGGCGAACGGGUGAGUAACACGUGAGUAACCUGCCCUUGACUUUGGGAUAACUUCAGGAAACUGGGGCUAAUACCGGAUAGGAGCUCCUGCUGCAUGGUGGGGGUUGGAAAGUUUCGGCGGUUGGGGAUGGACUCGCGGCUUAUCAGCUUGUUGGUGGGGUAGUGGCUUACCAAGGCUUUGACGGGUAGCCGGCCUGAGAGGGUGACCGGCCACAAUGGGACUGAGAUACGGCCCAGACUCCUACGGGAGGCAGCAGUGGGGAAUAUUGCACAAUGGGCGGAAGCCUGAUGCAGCAACGCCGCGUGCGGGAUGACGGCCUUCGGGUUGUAAACCGCUUUCGCCUGUGACGAAGCGUGAGUGACGGUAAUGGGUAAAGAAGCACCGGCUAACUACGUG